This 254-nucleotide ribosomal RNA is filed under the name uncultured bacterium. RNAcentral describes it as "partial 16S ribosomal RNA". It matches the Rfam family "Bacterial small subunit ribosomal RNA", at positions 524 to 776 of the family's 1533-position model. The record is from RNAcentral.
UACGUAGGGUGCGAGCGUUAAUCGGAAUUACUGGGCGUAAAGCGUGCGCAGGCGGUUUGUUAAGACAGAUGUGAAAUCCCCGGGCUUAACCUGGGAACUGCAUUUGUGACUGGCAAGCUAGAGUAUGGCAGAGGGGGGUAGAAUUCCACGUGUGAGCAGUGAAAUGCGUAGAGAUGUGGAGGAAUACCGAUGGCGAAGGCAGCCCCCUGGGCCAAUACUGACGCUCAUGCACGAAAGCGUGGGGAGCAAACAGG